GGACUUAACUGCAGAUGUAACGGGAGGGCCGUGGAAGGGAACGAAAAUAAAAAGGAGGCCACAGAAGGGCGUCUCGGUUUUCCAGGGCCAUAGAAGGAAGCGUCAUUUGCUUCAGGGCCUUCCAGGGAAUUUUCCCAAUUAAUUAUGUCACCUAGAUACCAGUAGUGCUUUAGUGGUACAUAGUAUAUCUAUUUUCCUUUGCUAUGUUAACAUGCUACG
Molecule: long non-coding RNA, 219 nt
Filed under: Panicum hallii
Lineage: Eukaryota; Viridiplantae; Streptophyta; Magnoliopsida; Poales; Poaceae
Description: long non-coding RNA (PHAL_LNC000418)
Source: RNAcentral